Molecule: long non-coding RNA, 2469 nt
Organism: Eriocheir sinensis (Chinese mitten crab)
Lineage: Eukaryota; Metazoa; Arthropoda; Malacostraca; Decapoda; Varunidae
Exons: 3
Source: RefSeq, a predicted model, not a curated record
GCCACGUUUACCAGCCGGAGCCUCAAAUCAUGUCCCUUUGUGGUGAUAAAGAGGACACAGCCUGGUGUGAAGCUACAUUUAUUACGGAAGGAUGCCAGCCGGGAUCCGAACACGUCCGAUAUCAUCCAAGAGAAUGUGGUAGCUGAAGGGGGAGAGGCCAAGGGUGAAGACAUUUAGCCACCCCCCCUGAAGUACAUGCCAGCAUUCAACCCUCUUGGUGAGCUGCAGGAAUGUGCUCCCCAUUGCAGUGCACCAGCUCCAUGUACUGAUUUUGGGUGUGAACAUGAUGGGGUUGGAGGAAACUCGACUCGGCCAUCAAGCUCACCUCUUGUUCUCAGUGAUAAUUUAUCCUCUUUAGUUACUAUUCCAUGUUGCUUUAAUCACAACUAAUGUGUUGGAAACAUUACAGCUUAAUAACAUACCUCACACCUCUGCAUACAAAUUGAGUUCAAUAUUUAACUGUUACACCAGUAGGCUUCAUAUCUUAAAAAAAAGGUAUGUAAAAAGGUUGACAUUUUGAAUGAUAUAUUUAAACUCUUUAAUAUGUUUCAAUGGCUGUAGUUGCGUUACGAUUAGUCGAGUUAUCAGCAUAUGGGUCUUAUGUUUUUGAUAGCAUAGGUUCAAAUUUUGCCAUAGGCUGGCAAUUGAUAGUAACAGUAGUGUCCACAGAUACCUGCCUGUUUCUUGUUUAUCCUGUUCCACUUUAAACCAUGAUUGGCCAAUCUUUGAAGAGGUAGCAUAACCUUGAAGUGCCACUAACAAACCUCUGUCCAUUCUUCUGAUGUGAUGAUGCUGGUAGGUUUUCUUCAGGGGCCAUGGCGGUCUGCCCAGGCCCGUCAUGAUGCAGGCAAUUUUUUUUAUAGUGGUGCCAUUUAGUAUUGGCUCAUGCUGCCACCCAGAACUCAUUUUUGAUUCACUUGGAUGGUUUAGCAGGGCUUAGGUAUGACUAACAUUGCAGAAACAGGGAAUUUUUAGAUUUUUAGUGUGGCAACACAUUGACAAAUGUUUUAGUAUGGACUGAACAUCAAAGAUAUAUAUGGUAAAUGGGUGCUUGUAGAUCUUGACAUUAUAUCUGUCAAGAGUCUCCAGUUGUAUCCUCUCCCCCAUCUCUCCUGAAAAUAUUACUCUUGUCAGGCAAUCUAAGUGCACCCUUCCAUCGAAGCUGGCGUGCAGACAUAAUGUCAAUGCUUAGAUUCACUGUCCUUAUAGCACUGAAAAUAAUGCAAUUGCAUGCACAUAUUUUAUUAUUUAGAAUUGUGAUUAAUUGUGAUUAAGUAUUUUUUCAUGUAUUUUCAGACAUGAAAAGUGAAAAUUGCUGCACACAACAGUCUACCGUCUGCACCGGGAGGCAAGGCAGCUCAAAGCCCAGGCUGUUACAACUCCUGGGCAGUUUUUGCCCAGAGCCAGCAAUUUUUUAGAUCCAAUAGGGAUGGAUUUUUUCUGAGGUCAGGUUCAACAUGCUGCAAGAUGCCAAGAUCUAAGCCUAGUAGGAGAUAUGGGUUACAAGAGAGGAGGUUUGCUCUGGCCUUAUACUAUCAAAGUCCAAAUACUAAUAGAUUUCUGAGCACAGUAUUUCACCUGCCUUCAGUUUCAACACUUCACCCAUGACUCAGGGGUAUUUCAGUACAUGUUGGCUGGAGCAAACAGACUCUGACAGCCCUGCAGCAAAGAGCACAGGCUUUGUCAAAAGAAGAGAAACUUCGUGGGAUUUGCCAUUAUUUAGUAUUACUCUUGUUACGCCAAGAAUUUUUUUCCAUAUACUUUGCCAAAUAUUGCAAGUAAUGCACCAUUGUUGGUCUUGCCUGUUAUAAAUCAGAUCUUGUUCAAUUAACAAGCUUUGGGUGUCUGCCACUUUCCAGUUGUAAUGCAAGGAACCAUUUAUCUUCCCUGCUAGAUAUCACAUGUAAUGCAUCAUUGUUGGUUUUGCCUGUUAUAAGUCAGAUCUUGUUCAGUUAACAAGCUUUAGGUGUCUGCCACUUUCCAAUUGUAAUGCAAGGAAUCCCCUGCCAGAUAUCGCAUGUAAUGCACCAUUGUUGGUUUUGCCUGUUAUAAAUCAGAUCUUGUUCAGCUCACAAGCUUUGAAUAUCUGCCAUUGUUUAUUUCAGGUGUAAUGCUUGGAAGCAUUUGUUCUCUUCCCUACCCAACAGUAUGCAAUGCUUUAUUGUGGAUUUUGCCUGUUACAUUUAAUCUUGUUCAGGUAACAAGCUUUUGGUGUCUGCCUUACCUAAUAAUAUGCUGCAGUGACACUUGGCAUGGUUUCAUAAUGUGAAAUACAGCAUGUAAUUUCAUCACACUAAGUGUCUAUCAUCACGUGUCUGGCAUCAUUAAUGUGGCUUCCUGGAGUAAUCUUGUUUGUAUUACAGCAUGCAAUGUUUUUUUCUGCUUUAUAUGAUAUACAUCAUCACAUUGGUAUGAUUUACAAAAUGUAAUGGCAGUUGAUAUUCUUGACUAAUGCCUCAUAAACCUUGU